CUUUGUUAAAAAAGCUGCAGCCCAAUUUGGAUUCAGCUCUUUGCUGCCCUUUUUCUUUUCCAGUUACUUAAUAUAGAGCUGUUCUGUUCUAACUCAGUAUCUGAACAGUCGUAAGGAUUAUCAGUUAUUAACUGAACAUUUCCGCAUGGCUGUCUUUGUGUAGGCAGUCUGACCACAAAACAAAGAUUUAAAAGUGUGAAGUCAGAAAUUGUGCAUUGUUAGAAAAAAAAGGAACAAAAUCUUGCAGAAAAAUG
Cyprinodon variegatus (sheepshead minnow) is the source of this 254-nucleotide long non-coding RNA. RefSeq lists it as uncharacterized. NCBI's taxonomy places the organism in Eukaryota, Metazoa, Chordata, Actinopteri, Cyprinodontiformes, Cyprinodontidae. The record is from RefSeq and is a predicted model, not a curated record. The transcript is spliced from 3 exons.